AACUCUCAUUUAAAAAAAGAUAAGUAUAAAUUUUAUUCGUUGUUAUUAUCAGAAUUCCUUUACAGAUAAAUAGUUCCUCUUGGGCUUAAGUUGUUUAUUAACUAUUACUUUCACUGUCUCCCAUUUGUCUCUUAGAGUAAAGAGAUGAGAUGACACGAGGACAAACAAGACAAAGACCAGAGGAGACAAGCAGAGGAGAUGCCAUGCACUGUGAACCCCUUCAUUAAAAAAGAUAAAGAGGAGAGAAGGGAGGAGGCAGCGUGCCCUGUAAACUCUCAUUUAAAAAAAGAUAAGUAUAAAUUUUAUUCGUUGUUAUUAUCAGAAUUCCUUUACAGAUAAAUAGUUCCUCUUGGGCUUAAGUUGUUUAUUAACUAUUACUUUCACUGUCUCCCAUUUGUCUCUUAGAGUAAAGAAAUGAGAUGACACGAGGACAAACAAGACAAAGACCAGAGGAGACAAGCAGAGGAGAUGCCAUGCACUGUGAACCCCUUCAUUAAAAGAAAUAAAGAGGAGAGAAGGGAGGAGGCAGCAUGCCCUGUAAGCAGGCAGGCUGAGUGAACCCUCUGAUUUAAAAAG
Molecule: long non-coding RNA, 576 nt
Organism: Xiphias gladius (swordfish)
Lineage: Eukaryota; Metazoa; Chordata; Actinopteri; Istiophoriformes; Xiphiidae
Exons: 3
Source: RefSeq, a predicted model, not a curated record